UUUUCCUGAUUGGUAGACUAAGGCUCAGAGAGAGGAGGAGGCAUUACCCAAAGCCGCACAGCUGGUAAAUGGGAAAAGAGGGGUUUAAAGGUACGUGCCCUGGAGGAGGCCAAUACUGACCUGGAGGUGAAGAUCCGUGACUGGUACCAGAAGCAGGCUCCGACCAGCCCGGAACGCGACUACAGCCAAUAUUUCAAGACCAUUGAAGAGCACCGGGACAAGGUAUGAGAAUGAGCUGGCCCUGCGCCAGGGAGUCGAGGCUGACAUCAAUGGCUUGCGCCGAGUCCUGGAUGAGCUGACCCUGGCCAGGACUGACCUGGAGAUGCAGAUUGAGGGCCUGAAUGAGGAGCUAGCCUACCUGAAGAAGAACCACGAGGAGGAGAUGAAGGAGUUCGACAGCCAGCUGGCUGGCCAGGUCAAUGUGGAGAUGGACGCAGCACCGGGUGUGGACCUGACCCGCGUGCUGGCAGAGAUGAGGGAGCAGUACGAGGCCAUGGCGGAGAGGAACCGCCGGGAUGUUGAGGCCUGGUUCUUCAGCAAGACUGAGGAGCUGAACAAAGAGGUGGCCUCCAACACAGAAAUGAUCCAGACCAGCAAGACGGAGAUCACAGACCUGAGACGCACGAUGCAGGAGCUGGAGAUCGAGCUGCAGUCCCAGCUCAGCAUGAAAGCUGGGCUGGAGAACUCACUGGCCGAGACAGAGUGCCGCUAUGCCAUGCAGCUGCAGCAGAUCCAGGGGCUCAUCGCUGGCCUGGAGGCCCAGCUGAGUGAGCUCCGAUGCGAGAUGGAGGCUCAGAACCAGGAGUACAAGAUGCUGCUUGACAUAAAGACGCGGCUGGAGCAGGAGAUCGCCACCUACCGCAGCCUGCUCGAGGGCCAGGAUGCCAAGUAGGUGCCUGGGCACAGGGGAAGGAGUGAUGAGGGCUGCUUGUGGCUGGGGUGCAGGGUUAUCCUAAGGGAAUGGCAGGGUGUCCCUAAGCAGCCUCGAGGGACUGUGAAAAGAGAACUGAGCAAGGAGGGAGGAUCUGGACUCCGCACUCUGGUCCUUGGCUGUUACCCGGGGCAGGUCACUUUCUCUCUCUGGAUCUGUGUUUCUUCUGUAAAUGAUAGAGGCUGGGCUAGUGGUGGUUAAGAUCUAGUGCUCAUUCCAUUCUCUGCAUGAAAUAGAUGGGUAUUCUUGUAGUUCAGAAUCUCAACCGGGCUCGGUGGCUCAUGCCUGUAAUCCCAGCACUUUGGGAGUCCAAGGCGGGUGGAUCACUUGAGGUCAGGAGUUCAAGACCAGCAUGGCCAAUAUGGUGAAACCCCAUCUCUACUAAAAAUACAAAAAUUAGCUGGGCGUGGUGGCAGGUGCCUGUAAUCCCAGCUACUCGGGAGGCUGAGGCACAAGAAUCACUUGAACCCGGGAGGCGGAGGUUUCAGUGAGCCGAGAUCGUGCCACUGCACUCCAGCCUGGGUGACAGAGUGAGAUUCCGUCUCAAAAAACAAACCAAAACAAAACAAAACAAAACAAAACAAAACAAAACAAAACAAAAAAAGAAUCUGUCUACUUGGGGGUAGCAGGCCUGGAUGGGCUAGCAGGAUGUCCCACCCCUAGAGGAGUCAGGUGUGUGGGUGGUGGUGGUGUAGGGUCUGAAGAACACUGCAUAGCUAUCUACAUGAGCUUCCCUUAGGGACACUUGAGCUUGUGCCGUUUGCUUAAAUCAGCUUCCCUCUUUCUUUCAGGAUGGCUGGCAUUGGCAUCAGGGAAGGUAGGAAGGCUUUACUCUUCUGGUGUGGUGUGGGGUGGGGAGGGGAGAUGUCGAAGCCACCACUCCCUUCGGAAUAGGGAGGAAGGAGAAAGAGCCCAAACAUCCCAUUAGGUGGGAACAUUCCCAUUCCAUUAGAUGCCUCUUCCCCAGUGGGACCUUCUCUCAGCCCCAGGUGAGAUUGUGGCUGGUGAUUUAUUGAGAAACUUCCAGGUUGAGUAGGCUUCAUUCAGGGCAUGUCUCUCCCCCAGGCCCCAUCUUCAUACACUUCUGCUAAGAUGCCCACAAUUCAUCCCCCUUCACGUGCAGCUUAAAAAACCCUGACAUUGUUGCUCCCUGCUGGGCAUACCUGCCAUUGCCACUGCCCAUCUUUGUGAUGACGAAUUCAACACCAGAUCUCUGGCAGCUCUUGAGGGAUUGGCCAGUGGCCAUUCUCAGGGGCGCUGUCUAGUUUUCCCAGAGUUCCGCCAAGGUCCUGGCCACCUUGGGAGAGAGGGGAGGUUCCCCCACUCUAAAGCCUGCUCCUUCUCUCUCUAGCCUCUUCGGGAGGUGGCGGCAGCAGCAGCAAUUUCCGCAUCAACAUAGAGGAGUCACUGGAUGGAAAGGUGGUUUCUUCCCGCACGAGAGAAAUCUAAGUGUCCAUUGCAGGAGAAACGUCCCUCGCCACUCCCCACUCUCAUCAGGCCAAGUGGAGGACUGGCCAGAGGGCCUGCACAUGCAAACUCCUGUCCCUGCCUUCAGAGAGCUGAAAAGGGUCCCUCGGUCUUUUAUUUCAGGGCUUUGCAUGCGCUCUGUUCCCCCUCUGCCUCUCCCCACCUUCUUUAGAGCAAGGAGGUGCAGCUGUAUUGUGUAACAAGCUCAUUUGUACAGUGUCUGUUCAUGCAAUAAAGAAUUACUUUUCCUUUUGCAAAU
Molecule: small RNA, 2657 nt
Filed under: Pongo abelii (Sumatran orangutan)
Lineage: Eukaryota; Metazoa; Chordata; Mammalia; Primates; Hominidae
Description: retained intron
Source: RNAcentral